RNAcentral lists this ribosomal RNA (318 nucleotides) under Fusarium solani. Its description in RNAcentral is "eukaryotic LSU rRNA". The stretch from base 260 to 318 matches the Rfam family "Eukaryotic large subunit ribosomal RNA", at positions 1 to 59 of the family's 3401-position model. Lineage: Eukaryota; Fungi; Ascomycota; Sordariomycetes; Hypocreales; Nectriaceae. The record is from RNAcentral.
GCGUGAUUGCAGAUUCCGUGAAUCAUCGAGUCUUUGAACGCACAUUGCGCCCCCUGGUAUUCCGGGKGGAAAGSSKGUCCGAGCGUCAUUGCUGCCCAUCAAGCACGGCUUGUGUGUUGGGUCGUCGUCCCCUCUCCGGGGGGGACGGGCCCCAAAGGCAGCGGCGGCACCGCGUCCGAUCCUCGASCYUAUGGGGCCUUGUCACCCGCUCUGUAGGCCCGGCCGGCGCUUGCCGAACGCAAAUCAAUCUUUUCCAGGUUGACCUCGGAUCAGGUAGGGAUACCCGCUGAACUUAAGCAUAUCAAUAAGCGGAGGAAU